RNAcentral lists this long non-coding RNA (2938 nucleotides) under Equus asinus (donkey). RNAcentral's name for it is "lncRNA (ENSEASG00005036245.1)". The record is from RNAcentral. Lineage: Eukaryota; Metazoa; Chordata; Mammalia; Perissodactyla; Equidae.
GGAGUGUGACGGGGACAGCGAUGCCCGCUCAGCUCCCUCGCCACCUGGCACUUUACCUGCUUGUUCGGACCCAGUACUCAAAACCGUCGCAAAUGGGUUUGUCAAUUUAUAGUUCAAGAAACUGAGGUGGAGAGCUGCAUUUGUGGCCGGUGUUAUGCAUUCAGAGCCCACACGUUGAAUCACCAAUCUGGACGAUACAGAGCCAGUGUGAGUAGCUGAGAGCCAUGCAUCACAUCCCUAAAACCAGGUGCCCGAGUGGACCCGAGGUUUGGAAGCGAUCCCCGUCAAAAGGGAAGCAAGCGUGGGUCAAGAGCACCCCGUGACGAGUGUCUUGCUGUGUUCUGUGCUGGUCAGACUUGCCUGGAGUCUUGCAUUCAGUUCUCAGCGUCGCCGUUGCAGGUGCUCAUAGAUUGACUCUGUGCUUUUCUGGGAAGCACACAGGAGUUCUUUGGCCAAGUCUCAUCUCUUCUGAAACCAGCGAUGAGACUUCUGGCGAAACCUCUCAUCCCUCUGAGCCUGUUUCUUCAUCUGGAAGGCAGUCAGUAGUCGUUCACGGUUGCUGCCAAGACAGACUGGAUGUGUCCGUGCGAAAGGGCUUUGUCAGCAGUAAAGUCAUCUGUAGAUGUGGGGGCGAUGUUUGUUUCAAUUGUUUCGUGUUUCAGGAGAAACCUCUUGGCACAGGGCAUUGGGUCUCACGACCGUGUCCAGUUCAGGAAAUGUUCGCGAGCCUGGACAUACUCCCUGGAGAAGGGAGGUCGGGGGCAGCUGGUAGCCGUCUUCAGUAGACCUGCCGUGCGAAACCGGGACCUUGGAGGCUGCCUUGGGCUGGAGGAAGCCCUCCAGGCCUGCCCCAAACACGUUCUGCUGUCCAAAGUCAGUAGGGGAAGCUGCCUCGACUUUCCCAGGUCCAAGAGCUGCUCCCUGCCACUGAGGCUGAAGCGGAAGGUGGGCGGUCAGGGGCGGGGCCGUGGGACUGCACCCGGGGAGCAGAGGACAGCUCUCCUAACGUGGCCGCGUUCCGUCCCAUAGUCGUUCAGAUUGUGCCCCUUCAGCUCCGACACAGGCUGAGCAGCUGUGAGAUACGUGGCUGAAGAUGCUGCUCACUGGUGGGUCGGGUCAGAAGAGGCACAGAGAACAGGUAUCUGUCUGAGGUGGAUCUGGUUAAUAACUACUUUGGCCCUUGGGAUAAUCCAUAGUUUAAGCAGUAGUUCUUUUAAUAUUUUAAGAAAAAUUUUCCUCACGUCUGAAUGCCAUGUGUAUAGUACCAAUUUUGAGGGCUGGGGAGGGAGAAUUGCCCUGAGAAAAGCAGCCCAUUUUCUCAUCACCCUUUUGGCUUUCACGUGACUUCCUGGCAGUCUCCCCUGUCGCAGGAGAAGCUGGAGGACUCCGGCCCCCAUGGUGGGCCAGACCAGGAACAGAGUGGGCUUUCUGCACGAGCCAUUCCCCGCAUCUCCCUGCCAAGGUUCAGUCCUAAUGCAUCUUGAAAGACUGCUGUGCAAAGUGUUCACACGCAGUCUCCCGUGGACCCAUUUCACAGAGCGGCACGUCACAACUUCUGAAGGAGCUAGUGGAACCACCACGGCAUCGAGCUACAGCUUGGGGCCCACGUCCCUCGAGUGGCAAUGUUCUCAGGCAGAGGGUUCAGAGGGAUUUGAAGAUGGGCAAGUGCACUUUCCUGACCUUUUGAAGAUCCUCUGAGUCACUUUCACUCUGAGCCUCUGCUGGUGUUGAAUGAAUCCUCCGUGCAGUUUACAGAAAGGGAAGAGCCAUCUGGCAGGCAGCGAAGUUCAGACUCCUCACGGCCUCUCCUGUGUUGAGUAACAUGACUUGUGAGUUAUCUAUUAACAAUUUUCUGAAACACACUUUUCUUGAAGCCUAGAACUUGCUCACAAGUGGCCAAAAUUUGAGUGCUUUGAAAAUAUAAGAAAUGUGCGCCAUGCCAUAAAACACAAGGAAUGAGCCCACAUCUGACAUGGUGGAAAGAAAUUCUAAUUCUUGGAGCGAUGUGAUGGGUAUAGUUAGUCUUCAUACCGCUUAGGGUCUGUCUUGGAGCUGGCAGAACACCAGCAGGGGUCUGCACAUGUCACAGAAAGGUGCUCCCUUUGUCUCUGGUCCUCGUGGGGGUGUCUGUGUGACUCGUGACUGUCAAACUCCUCUUCUGAAACGACUGGCGGGUGUCCGUCCUGGCUCUUCCAUGCGCUGGCACUCCCGAGUCCAGGGAGAGUGUGUGGUCUCCCAUAUGCUACGUGUGCAUUGAAAAACGUUUGCAUCUGUAGAUAUGAAAAUGUAUGUUGAAUUUCCUGAAAGACUCGACAGACCUGACAUUUUUAAUUAUCUCCAGUUUCCCCCAGGAAUAAGCUAGUCUUAGAAAGUGAGCAUGAGGAGCAGUGUCGUGGUUAAGGGAACCGAGGACAGGAGCCGAGUCCUGGCCUGGGCCAGGCCCAGCUGCUCUUGCUCCAUGACCCUUCAGCGCAUGCAGAAUGGAGGCUGCAUCUGGAAGAAGAAAGACCCCAUCUUGUCUGUCCAUCAAACCUGAGGACAGAGAUUCCCCAGGCUGCUGGCCCUGAAGAAGUGUGUGCUCUGAGGACAGGCUGGGGAAACCGACACUUGCUGCUCCAGCUGAGGCUGCCCCUGCCCGGGCCUGAGGUUAGCUUGGUCUGUGGAGGAUUCAACCCCCCCGUGGCUAAGCUAAUAGCCAUCAAUCAAAUCAACUCCAUCCAUCAAUGCAGAAUUCAAGUAGUAAAAAUCAAAAGUUAAUUAUUGAAAUCUCAGCAUUUAUAAGUGUUUUGUGUUUUAGGAAAAGUAUAAACUUUUCUUCCACGUUGUUAACUUCAUGUUCCACUGUUGGACAUUAAGACUAUGAUGACGAAACAGUUUAUUAAUUUGAACUUGUCAAAUCUUGAACAGGAUUUUUCAAGUACAAUGAGUUUGCUAGUGA